Molecule: ribosomal RNA, 305 nt
Filed under: uncultured bacterium
Lineage: Bacteria
Description: partial 16S ribosomal RNA
Rfam family: Bacterial small subunit ribosomal RNA
Source: RNAcentral
GACGACCUAGGGGGGCAGCAGUGGGGAAUAUUGGACAAUGGGGGGAACCCUGAUCCAGCGACGCCGCGUGAGUGAAGAAGUAUUUCGGUAUGUAAAGCUCUAUCAGCAGGGAAGAAAGAAAUGACGGUACCUGACUAAGAAGCCCCGGCUAACUACGUGCCAGCAGCCGCGGUAGUACGUAGGGGGCAAGCGUUAUCCGGAUUUACUGGGUGUAAAGGGAGCGUAGACGGCGAUGCAAGUCUGAAGUGAAAGGCGGGGGCCCAACCCCCGGACUGCUUUGGAAACUGUAUGGCUGGAGUGCAGGG